Molecule: long non-coding RNA, 133 nt
Organism: Oncorhynchus keta (chum salmon)
Lineage: Eukaryota; Metazoa; Chordata; Actinopteri; Salmoniformes; Salmonidae
Exons: 3
Source: RefSeq, a predicted model, not a curated record
UCAGGGUAUUAAACCUCCAUGUAUAUCUCACUAGGUCAGGGUAUUAAACCUCCAUGUAUAUCUCACUAGGUCAGGGUAUUAAACCUCCAUGUAUAUCUCACUAGGCCAGGAUAUUAAACCUCCUCCAUGUAUA